This 91-nucleotide transfer RNA is filed under the name Deltaproteobacteria bacterium. Its description in RNAcentral is "tRNA-Ser". It matches the Rfam family "tRNA". Rfam says of the family: Transfer RNA (tRNA) molecules are approximately 80 nucleotides in length. The record is from RNAcentral. RNAcentral also lists the same sequence under 1 other name. Lineage: Bacteria; Pseudomonadati; Myxococcota; Myxococcia.
GGAGAGGUGGCCGAGUGGCUGAAGGCGCACGACUCGAAAUCGUGUAAUGGCUAAUACCCAUUCGAGAGUUCGAAUCUCUCCCUCUCCGCCA